UACGUAUGGGGCAAGCGUUAUCCGGAUUUACUGGGUGUAAAGGGAGCGUAGACGGUAAUACAAGUCUGGAGUGAAAGGCAUGGGCUCAACCCGUGGACUGCUCUGGAAACUGUAUAACUAGAGUACCGGAGGGGUAAGCGGAAUUCCUGGUGUAGCGGUGAAAUGCGUAGAUAUCAGGAGGAACACCGGUGGCGAAGGCGGCUUACUGGACGGAAACUGACGUUGAGGCUCGAAAGCGUGGGGAGCAAAC
This 250-nucleotide ribosomal RNA is filed under the name uncultured prokaryote. RNAcentral's name for it is "partial 16S ribosomal RNA". It matches the Rfam family "Bacterial small subunit ribosomal RNA", at positions 524 to 773 of the family's 1533-position model. The record is from RNAcentral.